CCCGAACCAAGUGCAACGGACCACACAUAUUUCACCAAAUUAAACUUCGGUAUGAUCCAUGCAGCUAACAAUAUUCCCCAUUUCAUGUAAUUCAAGGAUAGACUACACUCCUAAUGAGAAUACAUAAUUCAUAUUUGUACAUUCAGUUUAAAAAACAACCAGAGGUCAGGGAUUCUCUGAGGAUUUGCACACAAUGUAGAUAAUCGACACAUUUCUACCCAAUUAACAAUUGCCGGUAGAUCCAUUUAUACAUUUUAUUGGUUUCUGAUUGUGGCAGAUGAUUUAAUUCACAUUACAGAAAUGAUUUGCUUUAAUACAUGUUCUUACAUUGGCUUACAUUGGAGAUGACAGUAGUUGCAAAUGCAAAGGGAAAAUACAUAUAACAGCAAAAUUACCUUGUAAUUAUUACAAAGAUUGAGGGAGAAAUUGAGGUGGAUUUCAAGAGCGAUGAAAAGGACAUGACAGGAGACACAGAGAGCAAUCCAGAGGCCACUUUGCCAGGGGCAGGUGAUCCAGGGGCAGCUGCUCCAGGGACCAGACUGCCAGGGACUGAUGGGGCGACUGGAGGACCUAAUAAGGCAACUAGAAAAGGAAAAAUUAAUGAGAAGGAGAGCAGAGAGGGCUAUUGCAAAACAAAAAAGAAUCAAUUUGGCACCAAGAAAGAGAAACAAUUCAGUCAACAAGAAGUUAAAACGAAAAAGCCAUACAGGUUAAAUUCACCGCCCAUCAUAAUCAGCAUUGUUGAAGCGGCGGCAUCUGUAGGGCUUCAUGUGCUGAACAUCACCCUUUCCAGGAUAUAAUUAAACAAACGCACUGUUAUUUCUACUAGCUAUCGCAUCAUAAAACCCGUCCUUAAAUCAACCUAAAUGAUCCUAGUAAUCCAACAUAAAUAAACUAAAUAAAAGUUAGAUUCACUAAUGAACUUCGUAAUUGUUGGUGUAGAUACCUUCACAUGUCGAAGUCGAGCUCACAAAUCAGCAGGCAAUCGGUCGUCUACCAAGAUAAAAAUAUAUAUAAUUACGCUGUGCAUAUACAAAUAAAUGUCAGUAUAUGCAUCAUAAAAGGACCUCUAAUACAAUAGACAGUUGACAAUUCAAAAGAGGUAGCUAUUUAAUCAAUUUACCCCUGGAGAUACCUUCACAGAUGGCGAAGUUGAG
RNAcentral lists this long non-coding RNA (1157 nucleotides) under Gadus morhua (Atlantic cod). Its description in RNAcentral is "lncRNA (ENSGMOG00000025928.1)". Lineage: Eukaryota; Metazoa; Chordata; Actinopteri; Gadiformes; Gadidae. The record is from RNAcentral.